GAUGAACGCUGGCGGCGUGCUUAACACAUGCAAGUCGAACGGAAAGGCUCCUGCUUGCAGGGGUACUCGAGUGGCGAACGGGUGAGUAACACGUGGGUGAUCUGCCCUGCACUUCGGGAUAAGCCUGGGAAACUGGGUCUAAUACCGGAUAGGACGAUGGUUUGGAUGCCAUUGUGGAAAGUUUUUUCGGUGUGGGAUGAGCUCGCGGCCUAUCAGCUUGUUGGUGGGGUAAUGGCCUACCAAGGCGUCGACGGGUAGCCGGCCUGAGAGGGUGUACGGCCACAUUGGGACUGAGAUACGGCCCAGACUACUACGGGAGGCAGCAGUGGGGAAUAUUGCACAAUGGGCGCAAGCCUGAUGCAGCGACGCCGCGUGGGGGAUGACGGCCUUCGGGUUGUAAACUCCUUUCGCUAGGGACGAAGCGCAAGUGACGGUACCUGGAGAAGAAGCACCGGCUAACUACGUG
RNAcentral lists this ribosomal RNA (466 nucleotides) under uncultured bacterium. Its description in RNAcentral is "partial 16S ribosomal RNA". It matches the Rfam family "Bacterial small subunit ribosomal RNA", at positions 28 to 507 of the family's 1533-position model. The record is from RNAcentral.